GCCCUAGUAACGGCGAGUGAAGCGGCAACAGCUCAAAUUUGAAAUCUGGCUCUUUCAGGGUCCGAGUUGUAAUUUGCAGAGGGCGCUUUGGCGUUGGCAGCGGUCCAAGUUCUUUGGAACAGGACGUCACAGAGGGUGAGAAUCCCGUACGUGGUCGCUAGCCUUCGCCGUGUAAAGCCCCUUCGACGAGUCGAGUUGUUUGGGAAUGCAGCUCUAAAUGGGAGGUAAAUUUCUUCUAAAGCUAAAUACUGGCCAGAGACCGAUAGCGCACAAGUAGAGUGAUCGAAAGAUGAAAAGCACUUUGGAAAGAGAGUCAAAUAGCACGUGAAAUUGUUGAAAGGGAAGCGCUUGCAGCCAGACUUGCCUGUAGUUGCUUAUCCGGACUUUUGUCCGGUGCACUCUUCUGCGGGCAGGCCAGCAUCAGUCUAGGCGGUUGGAUAAAGGUCUCUGUCAUGUACCUCUCUUCGGGGAGGCCUUAUAGGGGAGACGACAUGCAACCAGCCUGGACUGAGGUCCGCGCAUCUGCUAGGAUGCUGGCGUAAUGGCUGUAAGCGGCCCGUCUUGAAACACGGACCAAGGAGUCUAACAUCUAUGCGAGUGUUUGGGUGUCAAGCCCAGACGCGUAAUGAAAGUGAACGGAGGUGGGAACCCUUACGGGUGCACCAUCGACCGAUCCUGAUGUCUUCGGAUGGAUUUGAGUAAGAGCAUGGCUGUUGGGACCCGAAAGAUGGUGAACUAUGCUUGAAUAGGGUGAAGCCAGAGGAAACUCUGGUGGAGGCUCGCAGCGGUUCUGACGUGCAAAUCGAUCGUCAAAUUUGGGCAUAGGGGCGAAAGACUAAUCGAACUAUCUAGUAGCUGGUUCCUGCCGAAGUUUCCCUCAGGAUAGCAGUAACGUAUUCAGUUUUAUGAGGUAAAGCGAAUGAUUAGAGGCCUGGGGGUUGAAACAACCUUCACCUAUUCUCAAACUUUAAAUAUGUAAGAAGUCCUUGUUACUUGAUUGAACG
RNAcentral lists this ribosomal RNA (1004 nucleotides) under Neosetophoma buxi. RNAcentral's name for it is "Neosetophoma sp. MS-2021a partial large subunit ribosomal RNA". It matches the Rfam family "Eukaryotic large subunit ribosomal RNA", at positions 77 to 1101 of the family's 3401-position model. The record is from RNAcentral. Lineage: Eukaryota; Fungi; Ascomycota; Dothideomycetes; Pleosporales; Phaeosphaeriaceae.